RNAcentral lists this long non-coding RNA (248 nucleotides) under Elaeis guineensis (African oil palm). RNAcentral's name for it is "long non-coding RNA (EGUI_LNC018995)". Lineage: Eukaryota; Viridiplantae; Streptophyta; Magnoliopsida; Arecales; Arecaceae. The record is from RNAcentral.
CCAGGGGCAUAUAAAAUUGAAAACUUGAACAGCACAAAAAUUUCUCGAACUUGGAGUGUCGAGAAUCUACAGAUGUACUACCAAUAAGAUUAUCUUAUGAAUUAAAGAUUUUUUUUCUACAAAUCUGUGCCGACUAGCUCAAAUAUUCGGUAAUCCACCGAAUAACAUGAUCGAUUAAUACCUGACCAUAUGAUUGCAUCAUCAGCUAGUAUCCGACGAAACGUUAUUCAGCUGACAUCCGAUUAAUG